CGCCUUACCUCAGUUGGUAGAGCGCGUCACUAGUAUGGGCGUCUAGAACAUCUUACGGUAUGCAAUGACGAGGUCAGUCGUUCAAAUCGGCUAGCGA
Mycena olivaceomarginata is the source of this 97-nucleotide non-coding RNA. The record is from the annotation of a GenBank genome assembly. NCBI's taxonomy places the organism in Eukaryota, Fungi, Basidiomycota, Agaricomycetes, Agaricales, Mycenaceae.